Molecule: ribosomal RNA, 136 nt
Filed under: Peromyscus maniculatus bairdii (prairie deer mouse)
Lineage: Eukaryota; Metazoa; Chordata; Mammalia; Rodentia; Cricetidae
Source: RNAcentral
GUCUACGGCCAUACCACCCUGAAUGUGUCUGAUCUCGUCUAAUCUUGGAAGCUAAGCAGGGUCAGGUCUGAUUAGUACUUGGAUGGGAGACACCCACAAUACCAUGUGCCCCACAGUUAAAAUAAGUGCAGGGUCA